AAUAGAAAAUCAGAUAAUGACAUUGUAAUGGAAUGCAGUCCAGCUUAUGCUACAACUGAAUUUAAAACAAAUACUGCUGAUGAUAUACUAAUGAAGGAUAGUCCAGCAUACAGUACAGUGCAACAAACACAAUCAACUGUUGAGCCAGUGUAUGAUACAACUAAUAAUGAAUAUGAGACUCCUCUUCCACCACCUGCUGAAUAUGAAAUACCAACUGUUUAAUAAUGUACUCAUUUUUUAUGUACAUACAUUACUAUAUAAAGCAAUCAACAUAAUGUAUUUGAUGUACAUGCAAGUGUGUGUUGACAGUGGUUAGUAUAAGAUGUGUAUGUUCUAAAAUUAGAAAUGUUUA
Molecule: long non-coding RNA, 352 nt
Organism: Amphimedon queenslandica
Lineage: Eukaryota; Metazoa; Porifera; Demospongiae; Haplosclerida; Niphatidae
Exons: 3
Source: RefSeq, a predicted model, not a curated record